GGGGAUUUAGCUCAGCGGCAUAAGCGCCUGCCUUGCAAGCAGGCAGUCGUAGGUUUGAUCCCCAGUACCUA
Cavia porcellus (domestic guinea pig) is the source of this 71-nucleotide transfer RNA. It matches the Rfam family "tRNA". Rfam says of the family: Transfer RNA (tRNA) molecules are approximately 80 nucleotides in length. Their secondary structure includes four short double-helical elements and three loops (D, anti-codon, and T loops). Further hydrogen bonds mediate the characteristic L-shaped molecular structure. tRNAs have two regions of fundamental functional importance: the anti-codon, which is responsible for specific mRNA codon recognition, and the 3' end, to which the tRNAs corresponding amino acid is attached (by aminoacyl-tRNA synthetases). tRNAs cope with the degeneracy of the genetic code in two manners: having more than one tRNA (with a specific anti-codon) for a particular amino acid; and 'wobble' base-pairing, i.e. permitting non-standard base-pairing at the 3rd anti-codon position. NCBI's taxonomy places the organism in Eukaryota, Metazoa, Chordata, Mammalia, Rodentia, Caviidae. The record is from Rfam.